Juglans microcarpa x Juglans regia is the source of this 2705-nucleotide long non-coding RNA. RefSeq lists it as uncharacterized. The record is from RefSeq and is a predicted model, not a curated record. NCBI's taxonomy places the organism in Eukaryota, Viridiplantae, Streptophyta, Magnoliopsida, Fagales, Juglandaceae. The transcript has 2 exons.
AAUGUGCUUACCGUACUUUAAUUACUACGUUUGUCCUUUUCACCUCUCGUCUCUUCUUCUGGCCUUUUAUCUCUCUCUUCCUUCUUAAGUUCUCACUCACCCAUCUCAUUCCAUCGUGAUCAGACCGACCCAUCUCUUCCGCUUCCAGUAUCUCUCAGCUCUAUCUCUCUCCAUACUCUAGCCUGAGAGUUUCUUAGAAUAUCUGGGUCUGUGAAAUAGAGGGGAAGGAAGAACACGGUAAAGGAAGCGUUUUGUUUUGAGGGGAAUGUUGUCUGGCUCGAGGCCACCAACUAGAUCUAUGAUAUUAUCUCAAUUUCACCAAUAUUCCAAAUUAGAUCUUUGGUAUCUCCAGUUGACAGAGAUGCUCAUAUCAUUGAUCAUGAGUUUAUGACGUCGGACCAGGCUUCAUUCCCCCCAAUUAUUGCUUCCAUUCAAUCUGAUCACAAUCUCCUUUAAUUUGUUCUUCAUUUUUUUGUCUUGAUCUACUGGUGAGCAUUCUUGCCUCUUUUUCAUGUGAUUUUCUCCCAUGUAUUGGUAUAUUCUUAUCAGCUUUUGGGACUUUUUAAUCUUUUUAAUUAUAUAGACAUGAUAUAUUACUAUGGCUUUUUUGUAAUUAGAGAAAUUAUGGUCGUUGGGCAAGAGCAGAUUGGAGUAAUGAUGAUGGAUUUUGACUGCUUUUUUCCACCCUUUUUACUGACUGAAGAAGAGUGAACGGAUCAUCAUUACUCUUUAUUUUUUUUCUCUAAAUUUCAUGGAUCGGGCAGGCUUGUGUUUUUCCCUGUCAGUCUUUCUAACUCUCAGGUUCAUCAUUGGGCUGGUUCUUUCAUGAUGGCUUCGCAAGAAUCUUCUCUGUCCGUUUCUGCCCUUUCCCUGAUCUACUUCGUAAUUGGCUUCUUCUCGAACUUCCAUUCCUAGCCUCAACACCAAAACGGUACUUUAGCUUAGGGUUUUCCUCCGAUGGAUUCGUACUGCAGAGUUCAUGCCGAGAGAAGUCCAGAUCUCCUUUACUGUGUUUAUUUGCAAGUUUUUUCUCAAAUGGACUUUCAAAUAUAAUGGUUAUAAUAAUAGUCGAUAUCAAUAUGCAUGCUUGUAAAACUGGAUGUAUUAUGAUCAUGGUUUUCGAAAUAUCAUUCUGUGGGUAUAUCUGGUUUCAUCUUUUGUAUGCAAGUUAUACUGAGAUGGGUGGAUUGUUGGCUUUUCUUUUGUUUGGACCUCUGAGUCCGGUCACUUGAUGCUUUUUUCAUUGAUGAAGAGACGGCAAAAGCACUCGGUUUCUUUGGAGGUAUGCUUAGGUUAUUAUCUCCAUUGAUCAAACUCAAUGUUUUUCGCAAGUUUCGAUCCAAAGAUGUUAUUAGCUUUUAUAAUGCGUGUGUUUGACACCACAUGAUCCAUUGCUUCAAGAAAGGUGGAAGAAUAAUUUCUUAAGGCUGACAGAUGUGCGAGUAGGUUGUGUUCGAGAAGCAACCCACUUGUUAUUUGCAAGAGCACUCUAUUAUUUGCACUACUUCUUUCAUCUAGGAUGUUUUAUCAGAUUUUAGAGCGAUGGGAACACGAAUGGUGACAUGUAGUAAUAUUUACACAAAAUAGAGAAGAAAAGGAAAAAGAAUGAUGUGAUAGAUUGGAUGUCUGAUUUUGCUUGGACCUUCUAGUCUUGUCCUAUAUAUGUGGCUAUGUGUGAGCAAGUUACAGUUCAGAACAGUAACUUCUUUCUUUGUUUUUUCUUCUUAGAAAUGAAACCCCAAAUUCUGCAAUCAGUGAGAGGAGGAAGAUAUGUUCUAAAAACUAGAUGUUGUGAACGGGUAGCUACUAGCUAGCUGUUCAUCAUGUUCUUCCACCAAGAAGACAGCAAAAUCUGGUUUUCUGAAUGCCUUGUAUAUAUUCUGCAAUCCUUCUUUUGCGUAGUAUUCUGAAUACAAGUCUUACUAUAUCAAGUCCAUCAUUUAUGCUUCCUAGACUGUAUUGGGAUUUCAAGUUUGAAGUAUUUAUGGUCAAUUUCGAGAAUUAUUUGUUCAAAUUUCAACGAGAUCGGACACGGGACAGGAGGCCGGAAAGGUGGGAUGUAAUGUCAUGACAAACAUUACAUCUUCGACGUCUCUUCGCAACAGUAAUAUUUCUCUCCAAAACUGAGAAGGAAAUAUAAAAAAGGAAAAAGAAGAUCAUGAAGUGAUUUGAAAGAUGAAGGAGAGAAGCUUCACCGAAUUAGAAGACAACGUCCGUGAUGGGUCUCUACUCUCCUAAUUAGUGCUUUGUGGCGUUGGGUGGAGUGUUGAGCAUCAUUCGGUCAUCAAUUUCUGAAGCUGAGUGCCUAUGAAAACACUCAAUGCCUUUAAUGACCUGACUCCUUUUCCCUUCUGAAUCAUUUACCAUAAUGCAGUUGGGUCAACAUCAGCAGUUACAACAUGGAUUCCCCCAUUGUUUAGUAUUUCAAUUACUUGUUAGGAAUCUAGUACAGAAAAAAGAUGUCAGCUUAGUGUUACUCCUCCCAACACAUGAUGUCCUGUCUCCUUAACUCGUCUAGAAAAGCUGCUCAAAAAUUAAAUAAAGCCAAGUAUUAUUAUUAUUAUUAUCGUAAGUUUAUUUAAGAGCUAUCCAAUUAGAUGUCAUGCAUUUCAUUAGCCAACUUCUGUAUACGGUAUAUAUCUUGUUGAAUGGAACUGUAAAGACGCUCGAUCUUGUGAAAAUUGGAUAUUAGGAAUGCAUUCUUG